AGUUUUUGGUACCUAUAAUCUUAUUUGGGUCCUUGAGGUUAGAGACAUUUUACUUUAUGACAGGAAUCCAAGCAUAUUUUCCAUUUGGAACACCAAAAUGUUUAAUGUUACAUUUGUUUGAAGUAUGUCCCUUUUUCAUGCAAUAGAAACAACAAACAUCAUGCACCUUAUUUUUCACAAAAGUUCCCUUCUCAACCCAAACUCUACGAGUUCUUUUAAUUUGGUUCUUACCUUUAAAAAACCUUUUGUUUUUAAAAUCCUUUUUAACAGGUAGAGGCAUUUCAGCAUUA
Molecule: long non-coding RNA, 290 nt
Filed under: Vigna radiata
Lineage: Eukaryota; Viridiplantae; Streptophyta; Magnoliopsida; Fabales; Fabaceae
Description: long non-coding RNA (VRAD_LNC006707)
Source: RNAcentral